ACCCUGACUCUUUAAGAAACGUCAAAGUUUGUCGGUCACUCAGUUAUUUCAUGCUUUUGGCUUUCGUUUAAUUUGUCUUUGUUAAAUAUGAUUAAAAUCCGAGAUUUGUUAAGGAGAACCUUUGGCAUAGUAAAACAUCACGUAGGAACUGAUAGUUUCGGCAACAAAUACUACAGUAUACCAGAGCAGAAAACGUGGACAGUUCAGUGGAUAUGGUUAUCAAGUCUCUCCGCUUCAGUCAGCACUGAAGCACAAAACAUAAUUUGGCAGACCAUUCGAGCAAAGAGAAUCUUGGAGGCAGUGAAUCCCAAGGAAUAUGAAUAUCAAGGAGAAAGCAUUCCCUCUGAAUGGGAUGCCUGGAUUCGUGGAAGAAGAAAGGAUCCACCCACUCUUGAGGAAAUUCAAAAAAAUGAGCAGUACAGAAAAACAAUCAAAUUACGAGCUAUGGAAGCUGAAGAACGGGAAACCCUGCUUCAAGACAAAGCAUAUGAGGAAGGGUUAAUUGCAAGACCUCGCACUCAAAUCCAAGGCCAUGCUGCUUCACCCAACUUCCAGCAAACUGUGCCAUCUGAACAUCCCAGUAGUACUGCCAACACUUUUCAGCCGGGGUCCUGGACUCCUCCUGGACCAAAAAAUAAGGAAACGUAGAAAUGAACAGAGAAUACAUUUUGAUUAAAAAAAAAACAACACACAAGAUUAAAGAAGCCUGGAAUGUACGGUAUGAUAGACAGCCUUACUUCUAGUUAAACCACUUAAAGGCACUGCAGUGCUAACAACAUCUGUGCGUGUUGUUAAAAUGCAUACUUUAAAUGUGCGAACAUAAACAAGUACUGUAAACAGUUUUUUUUUUUACCUGUUAUUCAUUCAAAUUAUAAAUUUGUAUUUGUUUCCAUGAUUGCUUCACUUUUCAGCAAAUUUUUGUGGAGGAAAAUGUUGGAGAAAACAUCAACCUGACUAAAGAAAGCUAUGAAAACACGACGCAUCUCAAAUGGGCUGUGGAGAGCCAAUGUCUAUCCCAGCGUCAUCAAGCACAAGGUAGUAGCCAACCUCUAAAGUGGUGACAGCUCAUCUCACCGGGCAGCCUCUCUUAUACAUCAGUUUACAGCUACCAGGUAACCUAAUCUAGACCUUGCUUAUAAUGUUACCACUAUGAAAACAACUCUUCCUUUGUCAAAAUGUGGCAGCAGGUUGCAACAGAGGCAAAUCCAACAAUCUGGACUGUAUGUGGCAUAAUGCACUCCCUCCUAGUACUUCUGCAACAAACUAAUAAAUCAUUGAUGUUUUAAAUAAUACAGGAGACGUUUCAGGGGAUGGACUUUGGUUUCAAUUCUGAUUAAAACAAAAUAAAUAUGAUCCACCUAACUACACCAAAUCAAAUCAGCUUCCAAUCUCACUUGGGUUUGCUUAAGAUGGGCUCCAAACCAUGUGAUCCUGAAAUGGAUUCAGACAGUUGUGGAAAAGGAUGGAAGGUUAUUAACAUUGUUGUCUGUGUCAUCUGGGUCUUCCAUCAUGCAGACUUACCGCUUACCUAUAGAGACCUAAAACACAUACUUUAUUUAAAAGGCAUUACCUGUUCAUUUUUUUAAGUCUUGUGUUGUAAACAACCAUUAUUGUUCCACAAACAUGAUACUGGUUAAGAUGGUGUAACAGCCUGGAAAAUAUACAAGUUGUACAUUUCUGCUAUAGAUGAACUAUUGUGACACUAUAAAGAAUUGACUUACAUUAACAGUCAGGAUGGGCUUAACCUUUAUUAUUAACAUAAAGGUUUUGUUUUUUUUAGACUGGACAUCUUUCUGAUCAACUUGUAGCUCCAGUUCAAGGUCUAUAAGCCAAGGAGUAGUAGUAAGUAAUACUAAAAGUACAAGCUAGGAGAAAUCAAAUUCAACAUAUAAGAUUUAUUAAAUAUUAAUACCAAAACAACUGACUAGUCAGAAAUAAUUCUUAAAUUAUUGGUCCUUGCUUUCAAGUCUAAAACAGGCAGUUUAUAAGUAUUUUGUUAAAAUAGAAGAAUUUGAGUGCUCAUAAACAACACUGAAUUGGAGACUGGUUAAAGGCAUGGAAGUGAGUGCAUGCAUGCGAGUGCACACUCACCCCCACAAAUGUAUUUAAUAACUGGUACAGAUGAUUUUACAAAAACAUAUUCUGACAAAAAUAAAUCAUUGUAAGGGUUAGCCUUGAUUUCCAGCUGACAAGCUCAUCUUUUUGGAAUAUCCUUUCCCUGAGUGUCAAUCCUGAUACAACAAAGCCUUCAAUAAACUGCAAAAAAGAUGGAUUUGAUUCA
Polypterus senegalus (gray bichir) is the source of this 2281-nucleotide RNA transcript. It is a transcript of the gene named NADH:ubiquinone oxidoreductase complex assembly factor 2, with no coding region annotated. The transcript is spliced from 6 exons. NCBI's taxonomy places the organism in Eukaryota, Metazoa, Chordata, Cladistia, Polypteriformes, Polypteridae. The record is from RefSeq and is a predicted model, not a curated record.